GAUUGUUGUGACCCAGGUACAAGACUUUGCACUUGGAUUUGUUAAACUUCGUAAAUUUCACCUGGGCCCACUGCUCAAGCCUGUUUAGGUCUCUCUGGACAGCAUCCCAUCCCUCGUGCAUGUUGAUUUUGCUAUAUGGUUUGGUGUUGUCUGCAAACUUGCUGAGGGUGCACUUGAUCCCACUGACAAUGUCACUGGUAAAGAUACUAAAGAAUGUUUGUUCCAGUACUGACCCCUGAGGGAUACCACUUGUCACCGAUCUACAUCUGGACAUGGAGCUGUUGAUCACCACCAUUCUCUGGUUGCAAUCUCACAACCUGUUCCUCAUCUAUCAAAUAGCCCCCUCCCCCCCCCCAAAAAAAAAAAGUUCUGUAUCUUUCUAAUCUGGAGAUGUGAAUGUUGGGCAGGACAAUGUCAAAAGCCUCAGUGAAGUCCAAACAGAUGUUAACAGUGUCUCUUACCUUUGAUACAAUUACACCAUUGUAGGAGGUCACUUUGUUGGUCAGGAAUGACCUGCCCUUGAGGAAACCGUGCUUGUCUUAUAUGUCUCUUUUAACUAUCCAGUUUUCUUGACUUCAGUACAAUUCCUUGCUUUCAACUGCCUUAAGCUAAAGGUUGCUAUGCUUAUAUGUGAGUUUUUCAUUUCAUCCAACUAGUGUCUUACCUAACCUGACUGCCACUCAGAUGAAAUUUUAAUAUGAAUUUUGGAAGAUGGCUGCUUUCUGGUAAUCUGUGAUUAAAAUAGCAGGGAAGCCUACAGUGGAGUUUUUCCGUGAUCAGUUUAUCAGAAUGAAUGAAACAAAUUUCAGUUUAAGAGGUGCUAGAGCAGUUGAAAUCUGGUGAGUCUGACUGACCCCCUUAUGACUUUGAGAAAAUCAGAAAUCAAUUUUGCUUUUGCAGUGAUGUUUUUUAGCAGGAAAAAAUAUGCCGUACUCUGUGAUUGUUGGUAACUUUAGAAUGUUCAUGAUCUGCUUCUAAGAUGUCAUAUCGCUCUAUAAAAUAAACAACUCUGUUUGCUUUACCUUUGCAUAAUGUGAGCAUAAGUCAGCUAGGCAGUGGUUUCUCUGGAAAAUCACUGUUGACCUGAGCAGUAGAGAACCAUGAGUUUGAAAGAUCCAUUUCAUGUUCUUCAUCUGAUUUUACUGUUUAUGGCUUCCCCCCCCCAUAUUUCUCCACAUAAGUUUGUGGUACAGGUUUUUUAAAUUAAUAGUAGACAAACAACUAGAGAUUUAUAUAUUGCCUGCAAGUAUUAAGUAGGCAAAAUCAUAUGGUAAUUUUAGCCUCUGACUAUUAAGAAGGGGGGAGGAAUAAGAGAAAAUUGUGUAGAAUAUUUAUCUCUCCUUCUGGAAAGAAAGAAAAAAGCCGCUGUGGUUUAAUUCUGAUAUUUUCUGUGUUGAAUUUAUGCCAGACAAAAGUCAGUGGAGUUACUUCACCAUGUACAGUAGUGUAAGGUUAGGAAUGAGUCUUGUAUGUUAAAACACUGUGUAAGUAAAUACACACUUCUGGGUGCACUGUAUCUCUUUGUCUAUGCAUAUUCAAGUGAAUAUAUUUCACAGCUGCUGUCUGCAUCAUUCACUUCCAAAACCAGCAUGCAUUCAUUUUCAUAACUUUUUCUUCUAUUACAAUAUUAAUGGGACUAUCAAUGGGAAAGGACAAGAGAAGCAUUUUUAAUGUUUAUCUGACAGUUGCAAAUUUCACUUGAGGUUGUUUACUGGGAUCUGAUUGUUGGCAAAGAGGAGUAGGGAAGGCAGCAAGAUGAAUGGGAUCACAGGAAGAAGAGAUGUAUUUAUAGGCCCUCUUAGCACCAUCUAAGAGUAAUAAAAAGUCUUGUCUUACUCCUCCUUAACCAAGUCUUAAGUUUUAAACAGUAAAAAAUGAGAGAUUAUUUUAAUUAACUUCUGUAUAAUCCUGGCAGCCUGUUUAAAGGGAAACAUUUUGUAUUUAGAUAUAUGGAAGUUAGGUGAAGGUCUUUGUGUAUAUGUUCAUCAGUUCCUUAAUGGGAAAAGAUGGUUGGAAGUAAGUGAGUAGUUGUGCACUAGCAGAUGAACCUGUAAUCUGAUGUUAACUGCUUUCGACCUUCAGUGCUAGGACUACAGUAAGAGGAAGUUACUUGUUAUGGGAAGAGCUGAAGCUUUUCCCAGUUUUGCUUUGUGGAUUUAAAGCCACUAAGUUUUACAGAUCUGGAUGUUGUGCCUCCAAUUUUUUUUAUCACUGUGAACAUUUUUCUUCCAACUAAGAAAAAAUACAAAAGAAAACAACAACCACACGUCUUGGAGUUCUGAUUCUCUGUCUUUUUAGAUUGUGCUUUAAAAGGUUUAGGUCUCAUUUUUUCAACCAGAAAUGCAGAAGGACUAACUUUUCUUUUUGGUGUUUCAAUGAGAGUUUUUACCUAACUGCACAGCAUUACCGCCAGUCUUUAAGAACAGAAUGAAAUAUAGAUGAACUGUAGACUACAUAAAAAUGAUAGCCUUAGAGUACUGCAUUCAGUUUCACCUGGUCUAUCACAGGUGUCUGCAGAAAUAGAAGUGUUUCAAAACCAGGUAGUUAGCUAAGAUAUUUGAGAAACAGGCUGUUUCAACUGAGGAAAAAUAGUUGGAGUAAGUAUGAGGAGUAGGUUCAAUUUUCCAUGCAAAAUGAAAUCCAAAAUAAUUGCUGUGUAGAUUUGAAUUGUUAGAUUCUUGGAGAUUUUAAAUUCCCCUCUCCCUGUUUUUCUUAAUAGGCUGGAGACUUUUGGUGAAUUUAAGCAUCUGUGAUGAAUCUUGCCAGGCCCAGCAGAGAAGCCUUGAUGAGGACACAGGCCACUCCUACAAAGCACCAUGGCAGCUCUUUUCAGAUGAAAAAUAUUAAUUUUCCACAGGAAGCAGGCCAGAGACCGCUGUUCCCAGAGAAGAAUGUGCCCAAAACAGAAGAACUGGUCACUUGGGAAGAUCUGCCUUUUCGUGGUGGCUCACAGAGGCACAAAUUCUGUGAAAUCCCUCUGCCUGACUCGUCAUGGAACCGGGCCGAACCAGCACAUCAUCCAUGGACAACAUCAGCAGAAUCUGGACUUCAUGUUUGACAGAACAGAGGUUCAGUUACAUAUGAAAAGAACAUACAGACUCAUCUAGACAGAUUAACAGUUCAAAAUAAGUGGAGAAAAUCAACCUAGACAGAUUGAUAAUCCACUGGAUGUGGCAGAAGGUGUGACAUGGGUCCAUGAUGCACCAGUCUCAUGUUCCGAAAAAUGAUACCAAGUGCUGUCAUCCCAAUGUACACUCCCAAUGGCCCAUUCAUUAGAAGCCUCAGUUUUGGAGAUAUACCAUUAUCCUACCAAAGGCUGCGUGUGCUCUGUGUCGCGCUACCACCCAGCCCAAUUCUAGCCAUACUACAAAUGCUCAAUUAAUGUCUUGGAAUAUGGCUGUGUGUAGAAGAUAUAGACAUCAAGAUGCCACUCACUGCACCUGGAAAUCCUAUUUCAGAGGACAGGGAAGUUGGUUGCCCAUCUGUUUUUAAACACAAGGGUAUUUCAGAGUAAGAAAAAUACAUUUUCUCUCUCUUUUUUUUUUUUUUUUCAUUUGGAUGCCUCCAGUAGUGACAUUUCUGGCACCGGCUGGAGGCAGAAUACUUGAUAAACACAAAGCCAUUAAAUCCCAAGCAGCAGCAACCUGAUCAGGGCUGCCUUUUAAUUUCCUGACAUGAGCUGGCCACUAACCCAAUUACCCAGAAUCCCCGGAGGAGCCCUCAUCCUUCCCAGGAAGCACAAAGCAAAAGCCCAAGCAUAUUGCAGGGAUGUCAGCUGAGCUUUCACUGGAAUCAAAUAUCUUUUCGAGAACACAUGGUUUGGAAGCAGGGAUGGGGGCAGGAGGGAGCGGUUGCUGGAAACACUUUGCUCCAUUGAGAGAUUCUGACACUUAAAAGGAGAAAUGAAACACCCUCCACUUGGUUAUGUUGCAGAAAGGAGGUCCACUGUUGAUUCAGUUGUCUGAAUUUUAGUGAACAGUGAAGGCAAAGUUACGAAGUACAAGUAGUUUCAGAUUGCCAGUGCCAGGAAUUCCUUGUUUAGGUAGUAGACAAUGGCACCCAAUUUGUAAAAUCAGAGCCAGGCCUCCCCAGGGGUGACAGGUUUGUUUCCUUAGAAAGCAUUUGCAAUAGCCACUGGCUGCAGCUGGUGAAGGAAAGAGCAGAGUUAGGAAAGUUCUACUGGCUGCAGUAAGCAGGUAUUGCCAAAGGCUCUGCAGACAGGUAAGAAAGAGAAACAGCUUACAGGAAGAUGAGCAGGGUGAAUUCUGUGGCUCUUCUCAUUCAUAUUUCAGUGCUUGGCCCUACAGUGUCAGUAUCCACACAUUCUAGUGAUGAGUACAUCACAAAUCAGAUUAGACAGAUAACAAUUUGGGAGCUUGGGGGAUUUGUAACAAGGAACUGGGAUGUCCUGUUGAAUUUUAACAUGCUCUCUAGUCUAACCUAUUGAAGUGCAUCAGUAUGACAAGGAGCAAAGCUUAAGAAAAGAAUGGUUGUACAAGGGAUAACCACACUACAGCAGAUCUGGGAAGAAACAGAGUCAUGUAGCCAAAGUAAAUCAUUCACCUUUCUUCACUCAUUGCCUAAACUCUCCCUUGCUGUUAAAGAGCCUCUCUUUUCUGCAUCCACAUCCCGACUUCCUACCCCUGCCAUCCUUAUGCUUGUGGAUUUCACCCUCACCACAUAAGUAAGAGCUGCUGGAUAACUCCUCAGUGCAAGGAGGCCAGGCCAGAGGAGAAUUUGCCUUCAAAGACAUUCCAAGGAGGGCACAGUAUCCUACCUUGGGAUUUCCCAUAAGAAAUGCAGCUGGGAAACUCUGGAUGUAAAUAUUUUCUGAAAUAAGGCGCACCUCAUCUGCCACAGGUACAUCCCCAGGGCCUUUUCAGUCUUUGCCCUCUUUCUUAGAAGCCACACAAGCCAUCCUCUAUGGCUGGGAGUCCUUAGAGGUAACAUCUCUGUUUGCAGACAGAUUUUGCAGAAGUGUAUCUACUUCAGGUGGACAAAGCUGUGGAGAAGCCCAAUUCAUCUCUGCCUGCAGAUACCUCAGCCAGGCCAGAAUCAGCAGAGUACAGGUUUUCUAGGGACGUAACCUCCCCACAGGGACACUUGGAUUGGGGUACGCUGGAAUCACAGACUCCAAAUCCAACAGCCUCCUAUCCAGGCCUGUAAAUGAGGGGGCAAUUAGAGCUCUCUGAGGGCACACUCCUGAUGGAAGGGAAAGCAAGAGACAGACAGCUAGACAGGCCAACACAUCUGAGUCUAUUGGGCUCCGCAGGCAGAGCUUUCUGCCAGUCACUCUCCCCAGUGAGUCUCGCCUGCCCUGCAGCGUCACGCCUGGAGAACCUGAGACAGCAAAGCUCUGGUAUCUGUACAGUUCCCUCGCUGCAAUGCAUUGAUCAGAGAUCUCUUAAAGAAAGUGGCCUGGAUAUCUGAGACACCUAUUGAUCGCCCCAUCGGCUCUCUUCCUGCCCUGAUCCUCAUUCACUUGGCAUUGCCCGAACAACCUGCACCUCUGUGUUAGGGGCAGCCUUCCAGAUCCUAAAGGGCCACAGUUGGCUGUUCAGCUCCCUGCAGUUCAUAGGGAAGGAAAGAACAUGUCUGGUGACCCUUGUGCAUUUCCAAGGGGAUUUGGCUCCUGCAGAAUCAAGUUGCGCAUUAAAGAAUAAGGUUAGAGGCUUGAAAUCAUUGCUACCUGUUUUUUGACAUCUUUGAAUACUGGUUCCCCCUGCUUGAAAAAUAGGCUUGCACCACAUGCUGAGUGAGCAGACAGAGGUGUGUACAUCACAUGUAAGGACAAUAACCAGAAGAAUCUUUCCUGUCUUGCCAAGAAGAAAUCACAAAGCACUGAACUGGACACUAAUGGAAUCUCACAUUUUUCUUCUUCAGAGGAAGGACAGUUUCAUUUCCCAGAAAUGUCUCCCAGCAAGUUACCAGAUCAGUACCAAAGACCUCAAAGAGAAACACAGCAAGAGACAAACUGGCUUCAAGAUCUCUCAUUCAACCAUAAGAUCAUCUUCCUCCUAACUCUGGGCAAUCAAAAAGGAGAAAGAACCUGGCUUAACAGCCAUGGAUGGACCCAAGAAAGAAGAGAGAUGUAAACCAAGGCAAGGAGAAAUGGGAAAGACGACCAGGGAUUUCAAAAACUAGUCGAACUACUAGAAAUGUGUACCAGGGAACACUGUUGCUCUUGUGGAUAAAGGGAUGGAUGAGCUAACUGAAUGACAGAUCAGAGAUGUAAAAAACCAACGAACCUUUUCUAAUCCAAAAUCUCUUGUCAAUUCUGCAUUUCUGAGCAAGUCAAACAAUUAUGGAUUUGUUCUUUCCUGAAAGUCCUGGCUCUGUGGAGACCAAAGACUGUCAAGCCAUUUUUUCUCCCUUUUCGGAUUUUGCUUUUAAAGAUGUGUAUUGAUUAAAUUCUGUAUACUAAUAACUUUGUGCUUCAACCAAGCUUCACAUAAAGUUAACUAAUCAGUGCUUAUAACCCUUC
Molecule: non-coding RNA, 6484 nt
Organism: Coturnix japonica (Japanese quail)
Lineage: Eukaryota; Metazoa; Chordata; Aves; Galliformes; Phasianidae
Source: RefSeq, a predicted model, not a curated record